Molecule: ribosomal RNA, 537 nt
Filed under: uncultured bacterium
Lineage: Bacteria
Description: bacterial SSU rRNA
Rfam family: Bacterial small subunit ribosomal RNA
Source: RNAcentral
CCUACGGGAGGCAGCAGUGGGGAAUUUUGGACAAUGGGCGAAAGCCUGAUCCAGCAAUGCCGCGUGAGUGAAGAAGGCCUUCGGGUUGUAAAGCUCUUUUGUCAGGGAAGAAACGGUGAAAGCUAAUAUCUUUUGCUAAUGACGGUACCUGAAGAAUAAGCACCGGCUAACUACGUGCCAGCAGCCGCGGUAAUACGUAGGGUGCAAGCGUUAAUCGGAAUUACUGGGCGUAAAGCGUGCGCAGGCGGUUUUGUAAGUCUGAUGUGAAAUCCCCGGGCUCAACCUGGGAAUUGCAUUGGAGACUGCAAGGCUAGAAUCUGGCAGAGGGGGGUAGAAUUCCACGUGUAGCAGUGAAAUGCGUAGAUAUGUGGAGGAACACCGAUGGCGAAGGCAGCCCCCUGGGUCAAGAUUGACGCUCAUGCACGAAAGCGUGGGGAGCAAACNGGAUUAGAUACCCUGGUAGUCCACGCCCUAAACGAUGUCUACUAGUUGUCGGUUAUUAUGUACGUUGUACGNAGCUACGCGAGAGUAGACGCG